Molecule: long non-coding RNA, 1869 nt
Filed under: Solanum lycopersicum (tomato)
Lineage: Eukaryota; Viridiplantae; Streptophyta; Magnoliopsida; Solanales; Solanaceae
Description: long non-coding RNA (SLYC_LNC000901)
Source: RNAcentral
UUCUUAAAUAUGAUAUAUAAAAAGUUAAAAAAAGUUUCUAAAAAGAAAAAUUAAUAUUUUCUGUGAAAUAGACUUAAAAAUAAAAUAAAUGCAACAUUACUUUUAUUUAUGUGACACAUUAUUACUGUUAUUGAUUUUAAUAAAAUUUUGUAAUUAUCAUUUAGAAAUCUUUUUGAGUAUACUUUAUUUAAAAUUUUGCAUGAACCAUGACCACAUAAAAUGAAAUGGAGAGAUCUAUAAAUUGGAGGUUAAUUAAGGUUGUUUUGCAUCCCACAUCAAAUAACACACACAAUGAUGAAGAGCCUUGUUCUCUUUGUGUCAAUAGCACUCUGUGUUCCCUUAGCUUUGUCAUCAACAUUUUCUUCAGAUCUUCUCCUUCCUUCUGAUGAAGUAGUUCCUAAUGGUAAAACAUAUGCUUCAGUAGUUGACAGUGAUGGAAAUCCAGUAAAAGCAGGUGCAAAAUACUUUGUGUUACCAUCUUUAAGGGGUAGUGGAGGUGGUCUUGUUUUGUCUAGAGUUGUUGACAAAAAUGUUAAAGUUUGUCCACAAGACAUUGUCCAAGAACCUCAGGAACUUAACACUGGACGUCCUGUGGAGUUCUUUCCAGCAUACCCUAAUAAAACUGGUGAAAUUAUUAAAGUUAACAACCCCAUAAAUGUUAACUUCUUUUCACUUAGUAAGACAUCACGUUGUGCUAAUUUUACUGUAUGGAAAAUGGACAAGAAAUAUAAAUAUGUGGUAGGUAGAGGGACUCUAGGGGCGCUGAAUCGCAUAAGGAAUUGGUUCAGGAUUGUGCCAUAUGGAAAGGGCUAUAGGUUUGUAUAUUGUCCUUCACUCUGUGUUCCUUGCAAAAUUAGGUGCUUUGACUUAUUCAUUUCUUAUGAGGAACGCGAAAAUGUUCAAGUUAGACGCUUGGCUGCCUCGGACAAUGAAUUGCCAUUUUCUGUUUACUUCAAGAAGGCUGAUUAAUCAUCCUCCCUAUUAUUAAUAUUAUUAUUAUUAUUAUUAUUAUUAUUAUUAUUAUUAUUGUUGUUGUUGUAAUAUUUUCUAGCUACUAGUUGUGAUACCUAUCUAUGUAUAUCAUGACUACGUGGCAAUAAUAAAGUUAAAGUCAUCUUUUUGGAUUGUUAUGUUCUAUCGUGCAAUUUGUUGCAAACAGUGCACUACAUAUAUUUUAUGUGUCUAACGAUUAUUAUGUAUGUUCAUCUCAUACUAUAUAGUGCACUACAUAUAUAACAAUAGUAGUGCUAUAUAUGUUUUUACUUCCUCAUUAGUUAAUUUUACUUGAUGUUUAAAAAUUAUAUACAGAAAAAAUAGUUUACUUAUUCACCCCUUAGAAAUAUCUUGAAAAUUUUACAAAUAAAUGUAAAAGCUUCAAAAAAUAAUUAAUUGUAAUAGUAAUAUAGAAAAAAAAUUAUUAAUGUUUUCUUCAUCAAGGUGAUUAACUAACAAGAAAAAAUUAUUUUUAAUAUGACCAUCAAUUAAUAUGUGAUCGAGAGAGUAUUAUAUUUCUAAAUCUUUAAUAUCCAUUAAGACAAACAACCAAAUUUGAUAUUUGCAAUCAUUAAAUAUAAUUAUUAAAAUAGGAAGAUAUAAUAGAGGACAUCAAUGAAAGAAAAUGAAUUUUAUCUAUAUAUCUAAUCACAUUACUAACACAAUGAUCCCACAACCUAAAUAUAAAUCUUAACUGCUCGUAGUUCUAAGGAUAGAAACAAUACCUAUGAAAGCUUAUAAAACUGCUAAAAGAAGAUGACAAAAAUAAAUAAAAGUUUUUUUUAUCCCUUUAAAGCUUACCAGCAUAAACGGUAACACCCCUCCCUUUUGGAGUGUUCAGGUGAUAAUUAUAACAGCGUGAUUAUAUUAAAAGAU